RNAcentral lists this ribosomal RNA (253 nucleotides) under uncultured bacterium. RNAcentral describes it as "partial 16S ribosomal RNA". It matches the Rfam family "Bacterial small subunit ribosomal RNA", at positions 524 to 776 of the family's 1533-position model. The record is from RNAcentral.
UACAGAGGUCUCAAGCGUUGUUCGGAUUCAUUGGGCGUAAAGGGUGCGUAGGUGGCGCUGUAAGUCGGGUGUGAAAUUUCGGAGCUUAACUCCGAAACUGCAUUCGAUACUGCGGUGCUUGAGGACUGGAGAGGAGACUGGAAUUCCUGGUGUAGCGGUGAAAUGCGCAGAUAUCAGGAGGAACACCGGUGGCGAAGGCGGGUCUCUGGGCCGUAACUGACGCUGAGGAGCGAAAGCGUGGGGAGCGAACAGG